Long non-coding RNA from Hirundo rustica (Barn swallow), 758 nucleotides. RefSeq lists it as uncharacterized. Lineage: Eukaryota; Metazoa; Chordata; Aves; Passeriformes; Hirundinidae. The record is from RefSeq and is a predicted model, not a curated record. The transcript is spliced from 4 exons.
CGGUGGGAAACGUUUUUUUAAAAAACAUCUUUAUGUUGUUAUUAUUUAUCUCCCCUGCGGUACGGGGAUGCUGGCCGUGACCCGUUCUCAGUGCUCUCCUCACCGCUGGCCUCAGCCACCGUACACGUGCGCUUUCUGAAAAUCCUGAUUUAAGCCAAAUGUUUUGACUUUCCGUACAACUGCACAUAAUUUGGAGGCUGUCGAAUGGUUGUAAGAUCCGAAGUGUGCCUGGCUGCAAAUUAGUCGGACUGUCUCUUCUGGAAGUCAAAUCGUUAAACAGCCGUCAUGUUACGAUAGGAACAAAUAUUCUCAAGAGCGGUUGCACCAGAUAAUGUAAAGCAGACUUUUCCACAUAUUAGGGCACUGAAGACAUUACAGUUCAAACCAUGAAUACACUGGUAAAGGUAAUGCUGCCCAUUGUCCUGUUUUGAUGUAGCAUUGAUGGAGAGAUACCUGCUCAGUGUUAUCCCUGCUAUCACCACGACACUUUCAUGCUGGCAGCAGGCAGCUGAUCACCUGUGCACUGACUUUGGCCAGCAGUCCGUGUUUUUCUUUGGAUUGACAGAGAGUAAUCGUUGUUUUCAUCCUGUCUGAACCUAUCCUUAGCUAUGCUCAGUAUAGCUAGACAUGGACACGGAUCUUCAGCAUGUUCAUCCGCGUAUCAUCACAAAUGUUAAGAAAAAUCUUUAUCAGCAUGUAUGUAUUUAGGUCUUUGACCAUGCAGCACAUUGCAAGCUGUUUAAUAUGGGCACAGGAAG